Pezoporus occidentalis (night parrot) is the source of this 1809-nucleotide long non-coding RNA. RefSeq lists it as uncharacterized. Lineage: Eukaryota; Metazoa; Chordata; Aves; Psittaciformes; Psittacidae. The record is from RefSeq and is a predicted model, not a curated record. The transcript is spliced from 2 exons.
CUCCUGUGCACCCGGCUUCCAGCCCCGGCCACGCGGGGAAAGCCCGUGUGAGGACAGGGGGUGUCCCUGCCGCGGGUGGGACGGGCGGGUGUCGCCGUGCGCGCACCCCGUGGGUGCAGAGGGGGCUGCCGUGCCCCCGGCUCCCCCCUUCUGCCCCUAAAAUCACCGCGCAGGCUUCCACGAGUUUGUCCACGCGUGGGUGCGCGGUGCCGCCGCGGGCGCGGAGGGCAGGCAACGUCCGCAGUUUGUUUCGCUUUAGCGAGUGGCUCACCCGUGGCCGUGCGGCGCCGCUGGGUUGGAACAGCGAGAACCCACCCGCGCUGCACGGACAUCCACCCGCGGCCGCGCUCCUACCGCCCCACACAGGGCCGGAGACGGCGGCAGACGGGGCCGUUUUCAACUCUCACUGCUUUUCUGCUGGGAUUUAAUUUUUACAUUGCAUCCAAGCGCGGAGAAACUGAAUCAUUCGUUUAAACACUUAACCCCCCUUCCAGCACACCCCCGUUUUAUAGGAGCGCAGCCGAAGCUGUUGCACUGGAGCAUAUUCCGCCGCAGAGGGGCACCCGGGGAGUGUUUUUCCCCCACGGAGGAGCCGCGCCUCGGUGGAACCUCCCUCCGGUGCUCCGGGGAGGCUGCGAUCGAUGCCGCUGCAGCCAGCGCCCAGCUUGAGCUGCAUUAGCUUAUUAAAAAAAAAAUAGAAAAUAAAAUAAAAACGGGCAGAAAUUGCAAUUAUCAUUGUCUCGGGUUACGGCAAAUGCCAUUAUGCUGAGAAAUGGGAGGAAAACAAUGCCGCGAAAAUGCGAAUAGCUUUGGUAAUAACGCGUUGCUGCGCCGGUCCCUGCGCGCCCGCGGAAGGCUUCCUCCCCCAUCUCAGGCUUGGAGCUCCCACCCACGGCGUGGGGCAAAGCUCCCUGUGUGCGGGGUGCGGAGCCGACAGGCAGCACGGGGAUUCUUGGGAUGUGUGAGAGGAUGGAGAUGGGGGGUCCCCCUUUGUAUGGGGGGUCCGCAGCUGACGGAGGGAGCUGCGCACCCCGGAGAUGUGUGGGUACCCGCGGGUAGUGUCACGGACACGGACAGGAACCCACGGGGGAGAUGCAGUGUAGUCGGUGCCGGCUGGAAGGCAAGCCGGAGGGCUUCCGUGCAGAAAAGGAGUUAAACCCUGCCGUUGUCCUUUGAUUUAGGAAACGGCUCAUCCAAUUCAGUUCCAGAUUAUUCAGGGGCAGACUGCCUCCCUCGCUCCCUCUCUCCCCACACCAGCCCAAACAUCUUGAAGUAAUCAGCAGCUGAGAACGGAGACGUCCCCCUGGCAUCUCAGGUUAAAGAAGGAGGUCCAGGAAAAUGUGGUAGAGCCAUUACAAGAAACCUGAGAUGCAUUCAUCAGAGACUCCAAUUGCCAUCGCAUUAGGAUUGAUUAGAGACCAGCAGUACCGUAAUGACCCGGAAAGAGGGGCAUACGGGGAUUAUUAAUAUCAGACUUCUUGGGAAAAAAAAAAAAAAGAAAAGAAAAGAAAAGGAGAAAAGGAAGAAAGGAGGGAAAAAUUUAAACACAAAAGCACAUCGCGGGGCUGCUGCUCAUAUGCAGACUUACCUGAGGAGCACAGGCACUGGAGAGCCGCAGAGACGAACAGCAAGUGGAUGGGAAAGGAGCCCUCUACAACACAAACCUCAUUGACUUAAUGGGCCGGUUUUGGAUUUCGCCUUCGAAAGGUUCGGAAAGCGACAGCGUUGUGUUACUGCCCCGCCGGCUCCAGCCCCCGUUAUCAUCCCCGUGAGACGGGGCUCCGGAAAAUAAAAAUGUCUCUGAUUUGA